GUCAAUGGACGAGAGUCUGAACCAGCCAAGUAGCGUGCAGGAUGACGGCCCUAUGGGUUGUAAACUGCUUUUAUAAGGGAAUAAAGUGAGAGUCGUGACUCUUUUUGCAUGUACCUUAUGAAUAAGGACCGGCUAAUUCCGUGCCAGCAGCCGCGGUAAUACGGAAGGUCCGGGCGUUAUCCGGAUUUAUUGGGUUUAAAGGGAGCGUAGGCCGGAGAUUAAGCGUGUUGUGAAAUGUAGAUGCUCAACAUCUGCACUGCAGCGCGAACUGGUUUCCUUGAGUACGCACAAAGUGGGCGGAAUUCGUGGUGUAGCGGUGAAAUGCUUAGAUAUCACGAAGAACUCCGAUUGCGAAGGCAGCUCACUGGAGCGCAACUGACGCUGAAGCUCGAAAGUGCGGGUAUCGAACAGGAUUAGAUACCCUGGUAGUCCGCACGGUAAACGAUGGAUGCCCGCUGUUGGUCUGAAUAGGUCAGCGGCCAAGCGAAAGCAUUAAGCAUCCCACCUGGGGAGUACGCCGGCAACGGUGCAACUCAAAUGAAUUGACGGA
Molecule: ribosomal RNA, 550 nt
Filed under: uncultured organism
Description: bacterial SSU rRNA
Rfam family: Bacterial small subunit ribosomal RNA
Source: RNAcentral